Molecule: long non-coding RNA, 237 nt
Organism: Amphimedon queenslandica
Lineage: Eukaryota; Metazoa; Porifera; Demospongiae; Haplosclerida; Niphatidae
Exons: 3
Source: RefSeq, a predicted model, not a curated record
GUUGAGAGUGGUAGUAUUGAAGCUGUUGAUAUUCUGUUAACUAAUGGAGCUAGAACUAAUGUUGUGUCUAAAGUAAGUAUUAGUCCAAGCAUUUUAUAUUUUGGUACUCCACUACACUGUGCUAUUGAAACUGGUAAUGCUAAUAUUAUCAAAUUAUUAAUAACUAAAGGAAAAGCUGAUGUGAAUGCUGUGAAUAAGGACAACAGAACUCCAUUGUUUAAUGCUGUUGAGAGUGGU